UCCGAGUUGACCCCGGCAGUCUCACAUGAGUUCCCACCAUUACGUGCUGGCAACAUGCGACGAGGGUUGCGCUCGUUGCGGGACUUAACCCAACAUCUCACGACACGAGCUGACGACAACCAUGCACCACCUGUAACCGAGUGUCCAAAGAGUUCCACAUUUCUGCGGCGUUCUCGGUUAUGUCAAGCCUUGGUAAGGUUCUUCGCGUCGCGUCGAAUUAAGCAACAUGCUCCGCCGCUUGUGCGGGCCCCCGUCAAUUCCUUUGAGUUUUAGCCUUGCGGCCGUACUCCCCAGGCGGGGCGCUUAAUGCGUUAGCUACGGCACAGGCGGGAUUAAUACCGCCCACACCUAGUGCCCAUCGUUUAGGGCGUGGACUAC
RNAcentral lists this unclassified non-coding RNA (378 nucleotides) under uncultured Microbacteriaceae bacterium. Its description in RNAcentral is "contains 16S-23S intergenic spacer region". The record is from RNAcentral. Lineage: Bacteria; Bacillati; Actinomycetota; Actinomycetes; Micrococcales; Microbacteriaceae.